GAGUGAACGCUGGCGGUAGGCCUAACACAUGCAAGUCGAACGGCAGCACAGGAGAGCUUGCUCUCUGGGUGGCGAGUGGCGGACGGGUGAGGAAUACAUCGGAAUCUGCCCAGUCGUGGGGGAUAACGUAGGGAAACUUACGCUAAUACCGCAUACGACCUUCGGGUGAAAGAGGGGGAUCGCAAGACCUCUCGCGAUUGGAUGAGCCGAUGUCGGAUUAGCUAGUUGGCGGGGUAAUGGCCCACCAAGGCGACGAUCCGUAGCUGGUCUGAGAGGAUGAUCAGCCACACUGGAACUGAGACACGGUCCAGACUCCUACGGGAGGCAGCAGUGGGGAAUAUUGGACAAUGGGCGCAAGCCUGAUCCAGCCAUACCGCGUGGGUGAAGAAGGCCUUCGGGUUGUAAAGCCCUUUUGUUGGGAAAGAAAUCUUUCAGGCUAAUACCCUGGGAGGAUGACGGUACCCAAAGAAUAAGCACCGGCUAACUUCGUG
Molecule: ribosomal RNA, 491 nt
Filed under: uncultured bacterium
Lineage: Bacteria
Description: partial 16S ribosomal RNA
Rfam family: Bacterial small subunit ribosomal RNA
Source: RNAcentral